RNAcentral lists this ribosomal RNA (254 nucleotides) under uncultured bacterium. RNAcentral's name for it is "partial 16S ribosomal RNA". It matches the Rfam family "Bacterial small subunit ribosomal RNA", at positions 524 to 777 of the family's 1533-position model. The record is from RNAcentral.
UACAGAGGGUGCAAGCGUUGUUCGGAAUUAUUGGGCGUAAAGGGCGCGUAGGCGGUGCGGUAAGUCUGUAGUGAAAUCUCUGGGCUCAACUCAGAGUCUGCUGCAGAAACUGCCGUGCUUGAGUGUGGGAGAGGUGAGUGGAAUUCCCGGUGUAGCGGUGAAAUGCGUAGAUAUCGUAAGGAAGACCAGUGGCGAAGGCGGGUCUCUGGACAGUUCCUGACGCUGAGGCACGAAGGCCAGGGGAGCAAACGGGG